Erpetoichthys calabaricus (reedfish) is the source of this 6601-nucleotide RNA transcript. It is a transcript of the gene named vasodilator stimulated phosphoprotein b, with no coding region annotated. Lineage: Eukaryota; Metazoa; Chordata; Cladistia; Polypteriformes; Polypteridae. The record is from RefSeq and is a predicted model, not a curated record. The transcript has 16 exons.
UUUGGAGAACGAAAGAGGUGACUGAGAAAGGAGUCCAGGCUGUGAGUCACAGGCUAGUCCAGUUCUUAGUCUCGCGCACGCGCGUUACUGAUUUGAACGCCUGAGCAAGUGGGACGGGGAGGGGCGCAUGUACCCCCGGCGGUAGAACGCAAAAGAGCCGGCGUCCGACAACAGAGUGGGACACCGGGCCGAACAGGUGAGAAGAUCGGUGACUUCGGAGGGGGUGUGCCGACCAGCCUUCUCCAGGCUUCUUCACAGAAGAAGGAGAAAACCUCGGAAGCUUUUUCCUCGGGAUUAUUGUUGCCGGCUGCACACGGACACACGGGCAAAAUGAGUGAGAUUAGCAUCUGCCAGGCUCGUGCCACAGUCAUGAUCUAUGAUGACACCGGCAAGAAGUGGAUUCCGGCAGGCACCGGAGCCCAAGCUCUUAGCCGCGUGCAUGUCUAUCACAACACAGCUAACAACACCUUCAGAGUGGUGGGCCGCAAGAUCCAACCUGACCAACAGGUGGUCAUCAACUGCCCCAUCACCAAGGGUCUCAAGUACAAUCAAGCCACACCAAAUUUUCAUCAGUGGAGAGAUGCUCGACAGGUGUGGGGCCUUAACUUCUCGAGCAAAGAGGAGGCCGCCACCUUUGCCGGUGGAAUGUCACAAGCUCUAGAGAUCCUUGCUUCUGCUGUAGAUCCAGGGAUGCCUGGUACCCCCCGCCUUAUGCAGAAUGGGCCAACCCCAGAAGAACUGGAGCAACAAAGAAGGCAACAGCAGCUGGAGCAACAGCGUCUGGAACAGCAGCGCCAGGAGCAACUGCGCCAGGAACAGCUGGAACGAGAACAGCAGGAAAGGGAGAGGGAGAGGAGGGCCUCCAAUGCAGGCCCUCCACAAGCACCUCCUGCACCUGGGGGUCCACCGCCUCCUCCAGGUCCACCUCCACCCCCCGGACCACCCCCUCCUUCUGCUGGACCCCCACCACCCCCUGGGCCGCCUCCUCCUUCUGGUGGACCUCCUCCACCACCGGCGCCCCCACUUCCUUCAGGACCUGCUUUUGGCGCAGAGUCGGGUGGAGGUGCUGGAGGAGGGCUAGCUGCUGCCCUGGCUGGAGCGAAACUACGCAAGGUUCAGAAGCCUGAUGAGGGUGGGGCAGCUCCUGGAGGGGGCAGCUCCAGCCCCGUCUCUGCCCCAAAAGCUGAUCGCACGAGCACCCCCAUACCCUCAGGAGGUAGCAGUGGAGGAGGCGGUGGUGGCGGCGGAGGAUUGAUGGACGAGAUGAGCGCUAUCCUUGCUAGGAGGAGGAAAGCAGCUGAUAAGGGAGACAGGCCGCCUCCAGCCCCGAAGAAGGAGGACGAUUCUGCUAACGAUGAUUCGGAAUCUUUAAAUACCAAAGCUGCCCAAAAUGAACCUGUUCGCAGACCCUGGGAGAAAGCUUCCACAAUGCCAAGAAACUCGAUACCGAAAAACCAGGACCUGUUGAGCUCUCCACAGUCUUCCUCCCCGCUGCCAAGAGUGAAGUCGGUGGUCAGCACCAAUGACACUGGAGCCGGUGCAGAUGACACGGACAUGGAGCGUCUCAAGCAGGACAUUCUGGAGGAAGUGCGGAAGGAGCUGCAGAAGGUCAAGGAGGAGAUCAUUGAAGCUUUUGUGCAGGAGCUAAGAAAAAGAGGCUCGACAUAAAGAGGCUCUCGAGCUCGACAAGGACGCCAAAUAUGAGGACCUGAAGCAGCUCCACCAAGACGCAUCUCUGCGCAGGUUCCCAAAGUGAACGAUUGACAUUUGCCAAGGGUGCGGGCUUUGUCCUGGCAAACUGCUAAUAACCAAGAAAGAAAAAAAAAAUGUACAUUGCUUUAAAAAGCAGAGUUUAGAAGCGCUGUACGGUCUGAAUAUUGCCAUUCCAAAUUCUUCUCUUCAGGGACCUGUGUGUGUGUGCGCGUGUGUGUGUGUGUUUGUGUCCAUUCAAACCGUUUCGUAAAGGGUGGUGCUGAUUGGCCAGAAUUUAAAUGAAAAUUACAAAAAGAAAAAAAUGGCAGUGUAACCAGCAUGGAGUGUAUUGUGGUUCAGUCUGGGCGGCUGACCGGGUCAACUGGCCAUUUAACUGGUUUCUAUUUUGAUAGACAAAUCACACGAUGACCACUAGUGGGCGCCACCUUGUGUCUGAAUGUCGAAUCUAUGCACAAACUGGGCAGUUAAGCAACUUGCAGCAGGGUGACCCCCUUAACUCCCUUGGGGUGUUUAGCCUCUUCUGAUUGAGGCCCCCUAGUCUGGUCAUUGGCGGACCAACAUUCUCUCAGGUCCACCUGCUGGUAGGAUCGCCAGUGUCGUGGCACUGAAACAUCUUUGAGAAGGCUUUGUCUGGGUGUUAAAAAUCUGUUCUCCUCAUAAGUGUGUUUUAGUACAGUGACCCCUAGUGGGCAGUGUUCUCAUUUUAAUCCUCUUUUUUUUUUUUUCUCAGAAAUUAGAUCCCAAUUGCGUAAGCAGAGGCCUAAGACCACUCACUGAGUGAAUGUUAGUCUUGUGGCUUUAACUGGGCAGCUUAAAAUAGAAACCAUAUGGAAAUACAGGUGCAGUUUGUCAUGAUGAUCACUAGUAGGCGAUGUAUGCUUCGUAAAGUCCAAAUAUAUAAACUAACAGUGGUCAGUAGUCAUCAUGGAGGUGGGCAGUUUUCUCACUGCACUCCAUUUUGAGACACCAAACAACAUAAAUUGGCCAGUUAAGCUGGUAGCUGCAUGGUGAACCACUGCACAUUUUUGCACAUCUGGCCACUAGUGGGCACUCUUUUUAUCCUCUUGUUUUAUUUAACUGGAAAUGUAAUUCAAAUCACCUAAGUGGAUAUUUAAAAUGAAGAAAGAAAAAGUAAUUGUAAUAAGAGGCUCGUGUAGGGAGGGGGGCAGUUGCCAUUUUCUGGGUUAUCAUUACUUUAAUCGGGUGCCGUGUUUUUAGAAAGCUUAAUGGGAACAACUGGUCAUGUGACCAGCGGCCAACUGAUUUUACAAAUUCGUGUCAUUUUUUUUUUUUAUAUAUAGUGAAUUUUGGAUUGAAGACCACUAAUGGGUACUAUACGCUUGUCCUCCCUUUUUUCAGCCAGAAAUUUAAAUCCAAAUUAUUUUAAUGGUUAAAACAAUUUAAAAGGUGAGUGCUAAAGAGUUCAUGCAGCCUAACAGUUUCUGGAAUCUUGUGGGUUUAACUGGGUGCCUUUUUCCAAAGGGUCAUCAAGUGGCCAUUUAACUUGUGGUCAGUCGAAUUACAGAUUGUUUGUUUUAGUUGUCUGUUUGGGUAUGACAGCCACUAGAGGGUGCUGUUUCCUUUUCCACUUUUAUUUUUUAUUGUCCCCCUUCUGAGACAUUUGAGUGCAAAUCCUUCUUAGGUUGUAACUUGAAUGGUCUCAGAAACCUUCUUAGAAGUCUUUUAAGUGGACACCAUGUUUCCCAUUAACGGCUUACGUAGUUCUAUUGUAAAGUGCAUUUUGCCCAGGGCCAUUUUAAUCGGGUGCCUUUUUCCUAAUUAUAUAUACUGGUCAUUAACAGUUUAUAAAGUUUUACUGUGAAGUCCAUUUUGCCCUGCUUACCACUGGCGGCUGCUAUUAUCGUUGACCUUGAAGAGUUUGCUACUGCUGACCACAGUAAGCCCCAGGAAUCAUCCACUUUCCUGGAUCAUAGACAUUUUAACUAUAAAUUGGCCGUUAUUCCUCUGACCAGUUGGCUUACAAAUUGUUUUUGAUUUUUUUUUUUGCUAUGCUGACCACUAGGGGUGCCGUUUCCUCUUCCAUUUUUAAAUUUUUUCCUUCCCACUGUAUAGAUUGAGGUCUAAAUCAUUAUUAGAUUGUAACUAAUAGGUAUAGUACGUUUUGCUGGAAUCAUAAGAGAUUUUAACUGCCAUUAAUCCUCUAACCAGCUAAGUGCAUUUAGGCCUGGUCACCUCUAGUGGGCGCUAUUAUCUUUGACCUUUUCUUCCUGUAAAUGAAAUCCAAAUCAUUAUGAGGUUCUUAUUAAUGACCUGUUUAAACCCCAGGAUCACAGAUAUUUAAACUAUGAACUGCCCAUUAAUCCUCUGACCAGUUGGGUUACAAAUCAUUUCCAUCUUAAUAGCCAAUUUAUGUGUGCUGACCACUAGAGGGUGCUGUUUCCUUCUUCAUUUUUAAGAUUCGUUUUCCCAGAACCAUUGGCAUGUUCACUUAGACAAAUUGUAGAACUUGUAAUUAAACCUUUCACCAAUUGGGUUACAAAUUGUUUCUAUUUUAAUAGCUUAUUUAUGUGUGCUGACCACUAGAGGGUGCUGUUUCCUUCUCCGUUUUUAAAAUUUGUUUUUCCAUGACAUAUUAACUUAGACAAAUUGUAUAACUCUCUAUUAAUCCUUUCGCCAAUUGGGUUACAAAUUGUUUCCAUUUUAAAAGCUAAUGUAUGUGUGCUGACCACAAGAGGGUGCUGUUUCCUUUUCCAUUUUUAAAUUUGGUUUUUCCAGGACCAAUGACAUAUUAACUUAGAAUUAAUGACGAGUUAUACAAUUUGUCUAAGUUAAUAUGUCAUUGGUCCUGGAAAAACAAAUUUUAAAAAUGGAAAAGGAAACAGCACCCUCUAGUGGUCAGCGCACACAAAUUAGCUUUUAAAAUGGAAACAAUUUGUAACCCAAUUGGAGAAAGGAUUAAUGACGAGUCUCCAAUUGGGUUACAAAUUGUUUCCAUUUUAAAAGCUAAUUUAUGUGUGCUGACCACUAGAGGGUGCUGUUUCCUUUUCCAUUUUUAAAUUUUUCCCUGUAACUCUUUAAAACAUCAUUUAUUCAAUUAUAACCGAUGACCAGUUUAAGCCCUAGGAGUUGCCCACUUUCAAGGAUCACAGACGUGCUCACUAAGACUUGCCGUUAAUCCUCUCGGGUUACAAAUUGUGUCCAUUUAAAGAGUUGGGUUUAGGUUUUCUAGCCACUAGAGAGAACGCUGUUUCCUUUUCCACUAUUUUUUCUUCUCCCUCGCUCUCUAGAAAUGGAGUCCACAUCGUUAUUAGAUUGGGAUUAAUGACCAGAUUGAACCUUGAAUGUCUUCCGCCGUUUGAAGUGGGCACCAUGUUUGUAAUUUUACAAACUGGCCAUUAAAGUUUUACAAGUUUCUGUUGUCAAGUGCAUUUAGAACUGGUGACCAGCGGUUGGCACCACACCAUUUCCUUUGUCUUUCUUUUCCUUGAAGCCUAAAUCAAAAUGACGUCACGGUGGCCAGUUGGCCGACGGGAGGUGAUGGCCAGGCAGAGGUGUGUGUACUGCUCAGAGGUUUGGGUUUUUGUGAAGCUUCUGUCCAAGUGUGGGCUGCUCACUGGCCAGUGUGGAUUCUCCCAAAUCCAAUUCAGUGUCCUGAGAGGGUCAGAUGAGUGAGGGGAAGGCAUUGAGGGGGCUCCCUGGUAUCCCACCCUCCACGCUUGCACUGUCAUCACUAUGUCCUAUGAAUUGGUCCUUGCUUAUGUUUAUGGUGACAGUUGACAUUCGGCCUCCGCUCACAUUACUGCCAGUUGGCAUACAAUCGUGGGAAUUCAAUAAAUGAACUUGGAGCUGGCAGCCAACAUGACAUCAAAGUUGAGGGAGGCCACUUUCAUUUAACCAACUGUCUGCCGAUAAGUGGAAUAAUGGUGGUCCAAAGUGGGAGUGGCCAACAGCUCAGCCUACCUGUCACUCUUCAAACUUUAUUAGCAAUGAAAGAUUUACACAAACCACCGAGUGCAUCAGGAACAGGCAGACAGACUCGUUUACAUCAUGGCGGGGGGUGGGCUUGUAUGUUUAUUUAUUUUUUUUUAAAUCUUGUUUCAUUAGAAUUAAAAUGGCUUCUCACUCAAUGUCUUGAUCCCCCACAUCUGACCCAUGAGCUCAGCCUGCCCCAAUGGUGUUUGCCUCUGGUCAUUCUGACAGAUUUGUGAAACAAGGAAUUAAUUCGGCUUCUGGAACAUUCACACUUUUUUUGUUUGUUGGGCCGUUUUUGGGGGGGGUUGGGGGUUAUGGAGGGUGGGCAGCUCACUUCUUUGCCUUAUUUCCACAUAGCCAUGGAGUGUUGAGAUUUUACAGUCUCGUUUUGAGCGGGUAUAAACACCAGGGCUGCCAGUUAUGCAAAAAAACAAAAAGGACCUACCCACCCAUCCAGAGGGCAAACGCAAGUCCAGAACCGCAGUGCUUCUCAACUCUGCACUUUUAUUUUUUUGUUUGCAAACUGCCUUCAAUUAUUUUUACAAUAAAUGGGAAUUGAUUGCUGUUUCUAUAUUACUGGAGAUGGUGAAGGUAACUGGGGUUCCAAUUUCUGUGUGUUUUCAUUUUAAUUUUAAUUUUUUUUUGUUAUGAACUUUUCUAUUAGAGGAGUAGAGUUGUUUUUUUUUUUUUUUGUUUUUUUUUGUAUUUUUACACUGAAUUAUUUUAUUGGAAAGAGAAUUUGUUAAACACUGGAUUUCCAAAAUGCCUUUGUAGCCAUAAAUACAGCUGCUUCAUUUGCACCUGAGUAAAUCUAUUCUUCUUUAUUGAUAUUUUAAUAGGAGCUUUUAUCAAUUAAAUGGUUUCUUAUUUAAAUAUAUUGUAAAGAGUGAGGUCACAAAAUCUUUUUUCUCAAGUUUAGCAUUUUGCAAUUUUUUUAAAUAAAGUUUUAAAGAAG